GAUGAACGCUGGCGGCGUGCCUAAUACAUGCAAGUCGAGCGAACAGACGAGGAGCUUGCUCCUCUGAUGUUAGCGGCGGACGGGUGAGUAACACGUGGAUAACCUACCUAUAAGACUGGGAUAACUUCGGGAAACCGGAGCUAAUACCGGAUAACAUGUUGAACCGCAUGGUUCAACAGUGAAAGACGGUCUUGCUGUCUCUUAUAGAUGGAUACGCGCCGCAUUAGCUAGGUGGUAAGGUAACGGCUUACCAAGGCAACGAUGAGUAGCCGACCUGAGAGGGUGAUCGGCCACACUAGAACUGAGACACGGUCCAGACUCCUACGGGAGGCAGCAGUAGGGAAUCUUCCGCAAUGGGCGAAAGCCUGACGGAGCAACGCCGCGUGAGUGAAGAAGGUCUUCGGAUCGUAAAACUCUGUUAUUAGGGAAGAACAAAUGUGUAAGUAACUAUGCACGUCUUGACGGUACCUAAGCAGAAAGCCACGGCUAACUACGUG
This 497-nucleotide ribosomal RNA is filed under the name uncultured bacterium. RNAcentral's name for it is "partial 16S ribosomal RNA". It matches the Rfam family "Bacterial small subunit ribosomal RNA", at positions 28 to 507 of the family's 1533-position model. The record is from RNAcentral.